RNAcentral lists this ribosomal RNA (443 nucleotides) under uncultured bacterium. RNAcentral's name for it is "partial 16S ribosomal RNA". It matches the Rfam family "Bacterial small subunit ribosomal RNA", at positions 338 to 795 of the family's 1533-position model. The record is from RNAcentral.
CCUACGGGGGGCAGCAGUGGGGAAUAUUGGGCAAUGGGCGCAAGCCUGACCCAGCAACGCCGCGUGAAGGAAGAAGGCUUUCGGGUUGUAAACUUCUUUUCUCAGGGACGAAGCAAGUGACGGUACCUGAGGAAUAAGCCACGGCUAACUACGUGCCAGCAGCCGCGGUAAUACGUAGGUGGCAAGCGUUAUCCGGAUUUACUGGGUGUAAAGGGCGUGUAGGCGGGACUGCAAGUCAGAUGUGAAAACCACGGGCUCAACCUGUGGCCUGCAUUUGAAACUGUAGUUCGUGAGUACUGGAGAGGCAGACGGAAUUCCUAGUGGAGAGGUGAAAUGCGUAGAGAUUAGGAGGAACACCAGUGGCGAAGGCGGUCGGCUGGACAGCAAAUGACGUGGAGGCGCGAAAGCGUGGGGAGCAAACAGGAUUAGAUACCCCAGUAGUC